This 253-nucleotide ribosomal RNA is filed under the name uncultured bacterium. Its description in RNAcentral is "partial 16S ribosomal RNA". It matches the Rfam family "Bacterial small subunit ribosomal RNA", at positions 524 to 776 of the family's 1533-position model. The record is from RNAcentral.
UACAUAGGUCUCAAGCGUUGUUCGGAUUCAUUGGGCGUAAAGGGUGCGUAGGCGGCGCGGUAAGUCGGAUGUGAAAUCUCGGGGCUUAACUCCGAAACUGCAUUCGAUACUACCGUGCUUGAGGACUGGAGAGGAGACUGGAAUUUACGGUGUAGCGGUGAAAUGCGUAGAUAUCGUAAGGAAGACCAGUGGCGAAGGCGGGUCUCUGGACAGUUCCUGACGCUGAGGCGCGAAAGCUGGGGGAGCAAACGGG